RNAcentral lists this ribosomal RNA (840 nucleotides) under Bifidobacterium longum subsp. infantis. Its description in RNAcentral is "bacterial SSU rRNA". It matches the Rfam family "Bacterial small subunit ribosomal RNA", at positions 173 to 1029 of the family's 1533-position model. Lineage: Bacteria; Bacillati; Actinomycetota; Actinomycetes; Bifidobacteriales; Bifidobacteriaceae. The record is from RNAcentral.
UGUUCCAGUUGAUCGCAUGGUCUUCUGGGAGCUUUCGCGGUAUGGGAUGGGGUCGCGUCCUAUCAGCUUGACGGCGGGGUAACGGCCCACCGUGGCUUCGACGGGUAGCCGGCCUGAGAGGGCGACCGGCCACAUUGGGACUGAGAUACGGCCCAGACUCCUACGGGAGGCAGCAGUGGGGAAUAUUGCACAAUGGGCGCAAGCCUGAUGCAGCGACGCCGCGUGAGGGAUGGAGGCCUUCGGGUUGUAAACCUCUUUUAUCGGGGAGCAAGCGUGAGUGAGUUUACCCGUUGAAUAAGCACCGGCUAACUACGUGCCAGCAGCCGCGGUAAUACGUAGGGUGCAAGCGUUAUCCGGAAUUAUUGGGCGUAAAGGGCUCGUAGGCGGUUCGUCGCGUCCGGUGUGAAAGUCCAUCGCUUAACGGUGGAUCCGCGCCGGGUACGGGCGGGCUUGAGUGCGGUAGGGGAGACUGGAAUUCCCGGUGUAACGGUGGAAUGUGUAGAUAUCGGGAAGAACACCAAUGGCGAAGGCAGGUCUCUGGGCCGUUACUGACGCUGAGGAGCGAAAGCGUGGGGAGCGAACAGGAUUAGAUACCCUGGUAGUCCACGCCGUAAACGGUGGAUGCUGGAUGUGGGGCCCGUUCCACGGGUUCCGUGUCGGAGCUAACGCGUUAAGCAUCCCGCCUGGGGAGUACGGCCGCAAGGCUAAAACUCAAAGAAAUUGACGGGGGCCCGCACAAGCGGCGGAGCAUGCGGAUUAAUUCGAUGCAACGCGAAGAACCUUACCUGGGCUUGACAUGUUCCCGACGAUCCCAGAGAUGGGGUUUCCCUUCCGGGGCGG